Molecule: transfer RNA, 62 nt
Filed under: Limnoria quadripunctata
Lineage: Eukaryota; Metazoa; Arthropoda; Malacostraca; Isopoda; Limnoriidae
Description: tRNA-Ala
Source: RNAcentral
GAAUUUAAAGUUUAAUUUAAAGAAUCUCUAAUUUGCAAUUAGAAGGAGCAAAUACGCUGAUA